GAGAGUUGAGCAGUAAACAGGAGAGACACCAUGGACCUGGAGUGAGAGGGAAAUCCUAGAUAAAUGAAUCUAGGAUCGGGCUUUUGGACCGUCUCAGAGAAACUUCUACUGUCUGGGAAGAAAGUGAGCCCUUCUCCAGGGAGGGAGUGAUAUUCCAGGAGUGCCCCUGUCCUCUGAAUACAGCUAUGCUCAGCUUCCAGGAUCUGGUAAGUGCUGGGGCUUCUAAGGUGGCAAUUGGGCUAUUAACCACAAUA
RNAcentral lists this long non-coding RNA (254 nucleotides) under Dasypus novemcinctus (nine-banded armadillo). RNAcentral describes it as "lncRNA (ENSDNOG00000050648.1)". The record is from RNAcentral. Lineage: Eukaryota; Metazoa; Chordata; Mammalia; Cingulata; Dasypodidae.